GUGGCAACGCACGGGCAGCUAACUAGUAUACAGUAAUUUCAGAACCACCAAGAAAAAUGGAGGGAUCAACUCAUGAAGCAAGAUUCUCAAGUAACAUUGGUGAUGCCCAUCUAGCGUCUACCAUGUGCAGAACUAUGGGACCUAAUGAAGAUCGGGCAGCUAGAUAGACACACGUAUAUAUUGAAUAGCAAUAAAAGAUUGCCUUGCGAGUUUGUAGAUGUUGAUAAAUCAGCAAUAACGGAUGGUGACAGAGUGAUCCAUAAUUUUGUGCAACAUCCACUUAUAUUGCUAAAUGACACAACAUACCCAACAGCAGUUCUU
RNAcentral lists this long non-coding RNA (321 nucleotides) under Hordeum vulgare. RNAcentral describes it as "long non-coding RNA (HVUL_LNC004147)". The record is from RNAcentral. Lineage: Eukaryota; Viridiplantae; Streptophyta; Magnoliopsida; Poales; Poaceae.